This 101-nucleotide small nuclear RNA is filed under the name Zalophus californianus (California sea lion). The record is from RNAcentral. Lineage: Eukaryota; Metazoa; Chordata; Mammalia; Carnivora; Otariidae.
GCUGCCUUUGGCAGCAUAUAUGCUGAAAAAGUGGAACAAUACAGAGAAGAUUAACAUGGCCCCUGCAUGACAUGCGAAUUUGUGAAGUGUUCCAUAUUUUU